GAUUGUAUACCAUCUCUUGAUUCUUCACAGUCAACACCAACAGAGGAGCUAUCAUCUCAGGACCAGUCCAACACUGAUAAGAUUGAAUGCCAAGCAGAAAAUUACCUAAAUGCACUCUUUCGAAAGAAAGGGGAUGGAGUGUUAGAUCUCUCUACAAAGAAAACCAGCAUAAAAUCUGAAGAGUCAUCCAUAUGUGAUCCUUCUUCUGAAAAUUCAGUGGCUGGCAUGCUACAAGUGAAAACUGAUGAGAAACUGAAUGUGUCUGAUGAGAAUACAGCAAGUUGCCCUUUGAGCCCCAUUAAGAUGUGCCUUAAUCGUCCCAUUGAAUGGAAUCUGAAUUUGACAACAGCAUCUCUAACGAGCUGUACAGUUCAUAACCAAAAUCUCAAAAGCGAAGAGAAAUAGAUUGCAGUUCUUCUUGCACUAUCUUUAUUUUGUAUGUCAGUAUUCCUUCUGAACAAUAAGCAUUUAUCAAUUGAUCUUGAA
Molecule: small RNA, 486 nt
Filed under: Pan troglodytes (chimpanzee)
Lineage: Eukaryota; Metazoa; Chordata; Mammalia; Primates; Hominidae
Description: processed transcript
Source: RNAcentral